ACUCAAAUGAAUUGACGGGGGCCCGCACAAGCGGUGGAGCAUGUGGUUCAAUUCGACGCAACGCGAAGAACCUUACCUGGGCUCGAACGGCUGGUCAACGGCGGUGGAAACACUGCUACCCCGCAAGGGGGUCCAGUCGAGGUGCUGCAUGGCUGUCGUCAGCUCGUGUCGUGAGAUGUUGGGUUAAGUCCCGCAACGAGCGCAACCCUUGUCCUGUGUUGCCAUGUUCGCAAGAACGGAACUCGCAGGAGACCGCCAGCGAUAAGCUGGAGGAAGGUGGGGAUGACGUCAAGUCCUCAUGGCCUUUAUGUCCAGGGCUACACACGUGCUACAAUGGACGGUACAAUACGCCGCAAACCCGCGAGGGGGAGCCAAUCGUCAAAAACCGUUCUCAGUUCGGAUUGCAGGCUGCAACUCGCCUGCAUGAAGCUGGAAUCGCUAGUAAUGGCAGAUCAGCACGCUGCCGUGAAUACGUUCCCGGGCCUUGUACACACCGCCCGU
RNAcentral lists this ribosomal RNA (501 nucleotides) under uncultured bacterium. RNAcentral describes it as "partial 16S ribosomal RNA". It matches the Rfam family "Bacterial small subunit ribosomal RNA", at positions 899 to 1397 of the family's 1533-position model. The record is from RNAcentral.